This 484-nucleotide ribosomal RNA is filed under the name uncultured bacterium. Its description in RNAcentral is "partial 16S ribosomal RNA". It matches the Rfam family "Bacterial small subunit ribosomal RNA", at positions 30 to 507 of the family's 1533-position model. The record is from RNAcentral.
AUUGAACGCUAGCGGGAUGCUUUACACAUGCAAGUCGAACGGCAGCGCGGACUUCGGUCUGGACGCGAGUGGCGCACGGGUGAGUAAUGUAUCGACACGUGCCCAGUAGCGGGGGAUAACUACGAGAAAGCGUAGCUAAUACCGCAUACGCCAUACGGGGGAAAGCAGGGGAUCGUAAGAUCUUGCACUCUUGGCGCGGCCGAUCUCGGAUUAGCUAGUUGGUGAGGUAACGGCUCACCAAGGCGACGAUCCGUAGCUGGUGUGAGAGGACGACCAGCCACACUGGGACUGAGACACGGCCCAGACUCCUACGGGAGGCAGCAGUGGGGAAUUUUGGACAAUGGGGGCAACCCUGAUCCAGCCAUCCCGCGUGUGCGAUGAAGGCCUUCGGGUUGUAAAGCACUUUUGUCAGGAAAGAAACGACGCUGGCUAAUACCGCGUGUAACUGACGGUACCUUAAGAAUAAGCACCGGCUAACUACGUG